UGCGAGUGUGACUCACUUUAACUUGCUGCCUGCAUAAUUUCUUUUCUUUUUAAUCAAGCGGCAAAUUUUAACCUUAAUAGGCAAAUUUUAAUGAUAGCUAUCAACUUAUUUGACCACAUACUGGUCCUUAAUGGCUAUAUUAUCCUGAAAAUCUUCUUGUUUGCCCCUUGAAGUUGUUAAUGGCUUACGGUUAUUGUCUUUUUUCUUUCGUACUUUUGGCUCAAACUUCUUUUUGAGCAUAGAAGUUAUGAAUGGAAAGAAAUUAAGUCUGUUGAUGAACAUUUAUUAAUUCUUAGUUGCUAAUUUCAUGCUGUUCAAUUAUUGGCAUUGCCAUAAAUUUUUUUAUAGUAUCAAGCACUAAAAAGAUUUUCAUAUAAAGCUGGCAAUGGGAAGGAUCAUAUUUGCUCUGAAUUAUUUUCUUGUACAAAGUUGUAGUUUCCUAUUUUGCAUUCAGAAAGCUCAAACAUGACUUAAAACUUAUAUAUAUAUAUAUAUAUAUAUUCUCUUGUUCAGAUUAAAUUUGUAUACUAAGGAGUGUGAUACUGAUAUAUUACUUAUGAACUGGUUUGGGCUAUUUCAUGGUUCUUUAUGCAGAAUGUUGUGGUUGAUCAAGCACUUGGGCCUGGAAAAAGAGUUACUGUUGCAAUGGGAACUAACCUAAACUUGGAUUAUGGUAAUAAAAUUGUUCUUAUACUAUUUCAUGUUUCAUUGUCAUGUAAUUGUUUUUCUGAAUUGUUUUUCUGAAUUUAGCUGAUUGCAUUGAUUGUUUUAAUUCAUAGGAUCAGUAAUGGACAUCAUUCAGCUUCAUUGUUUAGUUUUUGGUAUUGGUGCUCAUGACAUAGGCAGAUUGAACUAAGAUCUUGAGGCAGUACUGCAACUUGUCAACAAAUAUGCCUUCUGGUUUUUGGUGCUUUAGAGGAAACAUGUGCUCUUGGCAAUUUAGCCUUCCUGGAGAGAAUUGGCAGAGAUUACUUUUUCCCUUAACUUGUGGAAUGGACACAUGAAGUUGGAGGUUAUUUUUAAUGGCAACUUUGGAUAGUAUUCGUUUUCCUGUUAGAUUGGUGAGCUAUUUUGUUUGAAGGGAAGAAUCAGUUUCAUGGAAGGCCAAUUGGAGUUGAGAGCAGGGUGAAAGAGAUAUUGUAUCGGCUUGAAUUUCUUCUAUUGAAUGCUUGCUUUAUAUUUUUAGUUGAAGUGAGAUAUUGAGGCAAGAUACUUCGUUUAAUUGUAAUUGUUGUAAAUUCAAUCGAGUUCUUGAUGAUAAUUCGAUAUGGUUAUGUUUUUU
Long non-coding RNA from Gossypium raimondii (Peruvian cotton), 1282 nucleotides. RefSeq lists it as uncharacterized. NCBI's taxonomy places the organism in Eukaryota, Viridiplantae, Streptophyta, Magnoliopsida, Malvales, Malvaceae. The transcript is spliced from 3 exons. The record is from RefSeq and is a predicted model, not a curated record.